UACGGAGGGUGCGAGCGUUGUCCGGAAUCACUGGGCGUAAAGGGCGCGUAGGUGGUUCGAUAAGUGUGUGGUGAAAGCCCGGGGCUCAACCCCGGGUCUGCCGUGCAAACUGUCGAACUGGAGGACUGUAGAGGCAGGUGGAAUUCCGGGUGUAGCGGUGGAAUGCGUAGAGAUCCGGAAGAAGACCGGUGGCGAAGGCGACCUGCUGGGCAGUUACUGACACUGAGGCGCGACAGCGUGGGGAGCAAACAGGAUUAGAAACCCCCGUAGUCC
This 273-nucleotide ribosomal RNA is filed under the name uncultured bacterium. RNAcentral describes it as "partial 16S ribosomal RNA". It matches the Rfam family "Bacterial small subunit ribosomal RNA", at positions 524 to 796 of the family's 1533-position model. The record is from RNAcentral.